GAGCAGCUCCUCCCAACAGAUGGGCUGUGAAAACACCUCUCUCUCGAGCCAGAGCUCAUAUGAAUAGUGGAAAUCUUCAGGCAGAUCCAACCUCUGCCCCAGUACGCUCUGCAAGCAGUUAUCCACAGGUGAAAACUCAGAGUCCUGGGGUCUGUCAUAGCGACGGCUGUUAAAAGCCUCAAUGUUGGCCCUCAAGGUACAUUCUUCUGCUUGGAAGUCCC
RNAcentral lists this long non-coding RNA (221 nucleotides) under Homo sapiens (human). Its description in RNAcentral is "HSALNT0128892". Lineage: Eukaryota; Metazoa; Chordata; Mammalia; Primates; Hominidae. The record is from RNAcentral.